GUCUAUGGCCAUACCACCCUGAACGCGCCGGAUCUCGUCUGAUCUCGGAAGCUAAGCAGGGUCGGGCCUGGUUAGUACUUGGAUGGGAGACGGCCUGGGAAUACCGGGUGCUGUAGGCU
Molecule: ribosomal RNA, 119 nt
Filed under: Cavia aperea (Brazilian guinea pig)
Lineage: Eukaryota; Metazoa; Chordata; Mammalia; Rodentia; Caviidae
Source: RNAcentral